This 251-nucleotide ribosomal RNA is filed under the name uncultured bacterium. Its description in RNAcentral is "partial 16S ribosomal RNA". It matches the Rfam family "Bacterial small subunit ribosomal RNA", at positions 526 to 776 of the family's 1533-position model. The record is from RNAcentral.
CGUAGGGGGCAAGCGUUGUCCGGAUUUACUGGGCGUAAAGAGCGCGCAGGCGGUCGAAUAAGUCGAAUGGGAAAGCCCCCGGCUUAACUGGGGAGGGUCAUUCGAUACUGCUCGACUUGAAGGCAGGAGAGGGUAGUGGAAUUCCCGGUGUAGUGGUGAAAUGCGUAGAGAUCAGGAAGAACACCGGUGGCGAAAGCGCUCUGCUAGGCCGUAACUGACACUGAGGGACGAAAGCUAGGGGAGCGAAUGGG